Long non-coding RNA from Centruroides sculpturatus (bark scorpion), 532 nucleotides. RefSeq lists it as uncharacterized. The record is from RefSeq and is a predicted model, not a curated record. NCBI's taxonomy places the organism in Eukaryota, Metazoa, Arthropoda, Arachnida, Scorpiones, Buthidae. The transcript has 3 exons.
GUUGAUCUCUAAGAAAGAUGAAUUUUAUAUUUUUUCAAAACUAAUUUAAAUUAGGCUUCUUAUUAAGAAGAAAAAUGAUAAAUUAGAGAAAAAGAGCGAAUUUUUUUCUCAAUUCAGCAUUAUAGAACCAGUUUAAACGAGUACCAAAUUAAAUAAGUAAUGUAGAAAGUCAUUAAUUCGAUGAUGUCAAGUCCUAAACGGGACAAGAAGUUUCCGAAAUUUUAUGCGAAUCACUAACAAAGUUGAAGGAAAAGUUGUUAUUAGACUAUAUUUGUCCAAGAGAAUUACUUAUUAAAAGAAAGAAAAAGAGUUAAACUUAAAAAGUUGGUCGUAUCGCGCAAGUUUACUUUCCAGAUGUUUUUGUUCCCAACGCAUAAAAACAUCAGAGUGGAGACCGGAUGGUGAUGAAACAGAUAGGUCUAUAAUGACGAUUUCCAAGAUAACUUACGCAUUUCGAGAAUUCUUUCAUAAAAAUAAAACACGAAUUGUAAUUUCUAGUCUUUCAAAUGGUGAAAACUUUCCAAUUUCUUAA